RNAcentral lists this ribosomal RNA (430 nucleotides) under uncultured bacterium. Its description in RNAcentral is "partial 16S ribosomal RNA". It matches the Rfam family "Bacterial small subunit ribosomal RNA", at positions 29 to 506 of the family's 1533-position model. The record is from RNAcentral.
AGCGAACGCUGGCGGCAGGCUUAACACAUGCAAGUCGAGCGCCCCGCAAGGGGAGCGGCAGACGGGAGAGUAACACGUGGGAACAUACCUUUUGGUUCGGAACAACUGAGGGAAACUUCAGCUAAUACCGGAUAAGCCCUUACGGGGAAAGAUUUAUCGCCGAAAGAUUUGCCGGCGUCUGAUUAGCUAGUUGGUGAGGUAACGGCUCACCAAGGCGACGAUCAGUAGCUGGUCUGAGAGGAUGAUCAGCCUCACUGGGACUGAGACACGGCCCAGACUCCUACGGGAGGCAGCAGAGGGGAAUAUUGGACAAUGGGGGCAACCCUGAUCCAGCCAUGCCGCGUGAGUGAUGAAGGCCUUAGGGUUGUAAAGCUCUUUUGCCCGGGAAGAUAAUGACGGGACCGGGAGAAUAAGCCCCGGCGAACUUCGU